Molecule: ribosomal RNA, 467 nt
Filed under: uncultured bacterium
Lineage: Bacteria
Description: partial 16S ribosomal RNA
Rfam family: Bacterial small subunit ribosomal RNA
Source: RNAcentral
GACGAACGCUGGCGGCGUGCUUAACACAUGCAAGUCGAACGGAAAGGCCCUGCUUUUGUGGGGUGCUCGAGUGGCGAACGGGUGAGUAACACGUGAGUAACCUGCCCUUGACUUUGGGAUAACUUCAGGAAACUGGGGCUAAUACCGGAUAGGAGCUCCUGCUGCAUGGUGGGGGUUGGAAAGUUUCGGCGGUUGGGGAUGGACUCGCGGCUUAUCAGCUUGUUGGUGGGUAGUGGCUUACCAAGGCUUUGACGGGUAGCCGGCCUGAGAGGGUGACCGGCCACAUUGGGACUGAGAUACGGCCCAGACUCCUACGGGAGGCAGCAGUGGGGAAUAUUGCACAAUGGGCGGAAGCCUGAUGCAGCAACGCCGCGUGCGGGAUGACGGCCUUCGGGUUGAAAACCGCUUUCGCCUGUGACGAAGCGUGAGUGACGGUAAUGGGUAAAGAAGCACCGGCUAACUACGUG